UCCCCGGUGGUCCAGUGGUUAAGGCUCUGCACUCCCACUGCAGAGAAUAGGGGUUCGAUCCCUGGUCGGGGAA
Molecule: transfer RNA, 73 nt
Filed under: Ovis aries (sheep)
Lineage: Eukaryota; Metazoa; Chordata; Mammalia; Artiodactyla; Bovidae
Rfam family: tRNA
About the family: Transfer RNA (tRNA) molecules are approximately 80 nucleotides in length. Their secondary structure includes four short double-helical elements and three loops (D, anti-codon, and T loops).
Source: Rfam by way of RNAcentral